This 62-nucleotide transfer RNA is filed under the name Nesticus barri. Its description in RNAcentral is "tRNA-Leu". Lineage: Eukaryota; Metazoa; Arthropoda; Arachnida; Araneae; Nesticidae. The record is from RNAcentral.
UUGCAUUAGAAUUAGAAUCUAAUUACACUAAAAUUACCCCUUCUAAUUCACUAAUAACUAUU